AUUCCGUUCUUCCAACCUAAAACCUUCUCCCAAAACCCCUCUUUCCAUUUCCCUCUCUCAAACAUGCUCUCCUCUCUCCGUACAAACCUCCAUCGCCUCCCUCCCCCUUCUCUCAUUCUCCAAUCCGCGUCGUUCCUUGAUGGGGCCAGAAUCAGAUGGAUCCGAGACCGUGGCCUCGAUCACGCCGUCGAGAAGGAGAAGAACCUCAUCCCUGUCAUCUCCCUCAUCAACCUCAUCCUAUCCGAGCCGUCCAAUUCCCUUCCCCUCUCCGUCGCCUCCGACAUGAAACCCCAGCUCUCCCUUCCCACACGUGCUAUAGAUUUCAUCCGAAAAUACCCCUCCAUUUUCCUCGAAUUACCAUCGACCUCCCCUCCUUACCGCCCUCGCAUCGCUGUCACUCCCGAUGCUCUCCACCUCCACGACGAUCUCGAUUCUGCCGUCCGAUCCUCCCGCGACGACUCUGCUGACCGCCUUGUCAAGCUCCUGAUGCUGUCCCCACAGAAGAAGCUCCCGAUCUGGGCCGUCGAUCGCCUGCGGUGGGACCUCGGCCUUCCCGACGAUUACGCUCGCUCCGUCCUCCCUGAAUUCCCUGACUACUUCCAGGUUUCGCCUUUCCGCCCAGGCGAGGACAAUAGGCUCGCCUUGGAGCUCGUCUGUUGGAGCAAGGAACUUGCCGUGUCGGCGAUGGAGAAGGCGGCCCGCUCAAAGGGAGAAUACAAGAAGGGAAUGCCACUUGCAUUCCCACUCCAAUUCUCUAGAGGUUUUGAUCUGGAGAAGAAGGUGAAGAAAUGGGUGGAUGAAUGGCAGCGAUUGCCAUACAUUUCUCCUUACGAGGACGGGACCCAUCUCCCACCGAAGAGCGAUAUUGGGGAGAAGUGGGCGGUUGGGGUCUUGCAUGAGAUCCUGCAUCUUUUGGUACCGAAGAAGACGGAUAAGGAGAAUGUUUUUCUUCUGGGUGAGGUAAUGGGUCUGCGGUCAAGAUUCAAAAGGGCGCUGUCUGACCACCCGGGGAUCUUUUACGUGUCGAACAAGAUCAGGACGAGCACUGUCGUGCUCAGGGAGGCGUACAAGAGAGAUUUGUUGGUGCAGAAGCAUCCGUUGAUGGGGAUGAGGUACCAGUUCAUUCACCUCAUGAAUAAGGGGAAGGAUGGGAGAGCAGCAGGCCCACUGUCAUCAUCACAUGCGAAUUCGAAUAAGAAUGCAUGGGUCGAAGAAGAGGAAGAUGAUGAUGACAAUGACAAUGACUAUGACGAUGGUGACGAUGAGAGUGGGGAAGAGGACAGUGAGGAAGAAGGGUAUGGAGACUCGGAUUCGGAGUCUGAGGAUGAAAGUGAAGGUGAGGAUGGUGAGGAUGAGGUGGGCCCUCGCCAGGGCAUUCUAGUCGGUAGGAGAGAGACGAGACGAGUUGGGCAGCGACCUAUUGAGAUGACAAGGCCCGCAGCAAGAACUUCUAUACGAGGGAGGUCAUCUGAAAAAAGACAUGAUACAGUGGGCAAGGUUCCGCGGACGUUUUCCAGAAGAACAGAGACGCAGGGAGGACAUAAUGUGGGUGUUAGAUCACAAGGAAGGCAGAAUUACCCAAGAAGUGGGGGAGAGAGAAGAUCAUCCGACCGUAGGACUCCUACUUUUUAGUUCAGAUGACAGAAAUGGCAGUAUUGGCAAGCGAGUGUUUUGACUAUAAAGAAAUGAGCAAUGAACAUCAUAUAGAUGUUGCUCAAAUCCUGUAGUAGACUUUGUUGGUUCUCAGCUAGGCAAUGACUCGGAGGAAAUUUUUGGCUGAUGAAAUUUGAAAGCAUGCAAUUGAUUCUUUGCAGAUACAAUCAAUGUGGAAGCACGCCCUCUGAUAGAUCUGCAUAGGACAAGGGAUGUUGUUGACAACGGGGGGGUGCCGGUGGCCAGCUGUGGACCCUCUGAUGCCUAAGUUAGGCUCAUAGAUUCUGAUCAAAGAUGAAGGUUGAGGUUUUGAGCCUACCUCUCUUUGUUUGGGGUAUUCGUAUAUAUAGUCCUCGGGCAGUUCUGGAACUGUCAUGUCUUAAUAAGAUGCACUGGAGAGUCCUUGUUCUGAUGGGAAACUACCUCCGAAGAUAUCAUCGAGCCCGCUUCGGUCGGCGUAAUCUUCGGCCGAGAUCAGGCCAGGCUCUCUUCUUCCAGGUAUGGAGUGUAAUCUCCUCUAGGCUACGCAUACCGCUCUGGAGGUGGUCAGCUCAGGGAGCUAGGGAACUCAAUGCUCGAGCUCCUUCCUUUAAGGGUCUGUCCUCGGAUAGCUCAGCCCAGGGGCUAGUCUCUACCUCAGAAGAAUCGCUCAUCAUAUAUCCGAGCCUUGUGCUUUGACAGCUCGGCUCGGAGAUCCGUUGCUGGCCCUUUUGUUUGGACCUUUGGUUACCCCAGCUCUGAGGCACAUCGCUUGUAGUUAGACUGUCAUUCUUCCCGUGUGAGGGACCAGUUCGGAUUUCCCUACAACAGGGGUCAUUUGUGUUUGACAAGUUCAAGGUAAUGUUUUGAAUUUGAAGCCGUUUCUUCUGUUGUAGGACUUAAGUUGUUGAGUAUACAGUCUUAACAUGUUCCCCUAGCAAGACAUAAUGAAUUCUAAAUACUAAAUGAUAUAGCUUGACUUCUAUUUCCAA
Magnolia sinica is the source of this 2624-nucleotide RNA transcript. It is a transcript of the gene named protein WHAT'S THIS FACTOR 9, mitochondrial, with no coding region annotated. The record is from RefSeq and is a predicted model, not a curated record. Lineage: Eukaryota; Viridiplantae; Streptophyta; Magnoliopsida; Magnoliales; Magnoliaceae. The transcript is spliced from 4 exons.